UACGAAGGGGGCGAGCGUUGUUCGGAUUUACUGGGCGUAAAGGGCGCGCAGGCGGUCGUGUUUGUCGAGUGUGAAAGCCCCGGGCUCAACCUGGGAAUUGCGCCCGAAACGGCACGGCUAGAGUUCGGGAGAGGAGAGUGGAAUUCCCAGUGUAGAGGUGAAAUUCGUAGAUAUUGGGAAGAACACCAGUGGCGAAGGCGGCUCUCUGGGACGGUACUGACGCUGAGACGCGAAAGCGUGGGGAGCGAACAGG
This 253-nucleotide unclassified non-coding RNA is filed under the name uncultured Alphaproteobacteria bacterium. RNAcentral describes it as "contains 16S-23S intergenic spacer region". It matches the Rfam family "Bacterial small subunit ribosomal RNA", at positions 524 to 776 of the family's 1533-position model. Lineage: Bacteria; Pseudomonadati; Pseudomonadota; Alphaproteobacteria. The record is from RNAcentral.